AUGACGGACGCAAAGAUCAAGUACGCCCAACCAGAUGAAGGCACACCUUUUGGAUUCCAUUUGAAGGAAGUCACCAAGUACCUGAACAUUGGACUACCAAGCUUCACCGGGACUUUCACCGCCACUCUGCCUGAAGAGGAGCGCUGGAAGAUUCAAGCUCACGUUCCGGGAAGAACAUUUGCCCCAAUCACCAAGCCUAUAGAUAGUGUUUUCAGUGCACCAACCUGGAGUCUGGGAAAGAGCAUGGCAGCUCAUAUCACCAUGGGACGCAUUGGAGAAAUUUAUCAAGAAGACCUCAAGGACACUAUCUACCAGAUUUGCGGACGCCGAAAUGAACAAUGGGAGAUAGUCAGCACCAAGAAGGAUAGAUCCAUUGCAGCUGUGCAAUGUUAA
RNAcentral lists this ribosomal RNA (393 nucleotides) under Triticum aestivum (bread wheat). Its description in RNAcentral is "partial small subunit ribosomal RNA". Lineage: Eukaryota; Viridiplantae; Streptophyta; Magnoliopsida; Poales; Poaceae. The record is from RNAcentral.